GACGAACGCUGGCGGCGUGCUUAACACAUGCAAGUCGAACGGGCCUUGUCCCCUUUUUUUUGGGGGUGGGGUUAGUGGCGAACGGGUGAGUAACACGUGAGUAACCUGCCCCUCACUUCUGGAUAACCGCUUGAAAGGGUGGCUAAUACGGGGUGUUCUGGCCUGCUCGCAUGGGUGGGUUUGGAAAGAUUCGACCGGUUUUGGUUGUUUUGGUGGGGGAUGGGCUCGCGGCCUAUCAGCUUGUUGGUGGGGUGAUGGCCUGCCAAGGCUUUGACGGGUAGCCGGCCUGAGAGGGUGGGCGGUCACACUGGGACUGAGACACGGCCCAGACUCCUACGGGAGGCAGCAGUGGGGAAUAUUGCACAAUGGGCGCAAGCCUGAUGCAGCGACGCCGCGUGAGGGAUGGAGGCCUUCGGGUUGUGAACCUCUUUCACCAGUGAAGAAGGUCCUGCUCUUUGUGGUGGGGUUGACGGUAGCUGGGUUAAUGAAGCGCCGGCUAACUACGUG
RNAcentral lists this ribosomal RNA (507 nucleotides) under uncultured bacterium. Its description in RNAcentral is "partial 16S ribosomal RNA". It matches the Rfam family "Bacterial small subunit ribosomal RNA", at positions 28 to 507 of the family's 1533-position model. The record is from RNAcentral.